CACCGGCAGCUCAAGUGGUAGCCGCUUUUAUUGGGCCUAAAGCGUCCGUAGCCGGUCUGAUAAGUCUCUGGUGAAAUCCCACAGCUUAACUGUGGGAAUUGCUGGAGAUACUAUCAUGACUCGAGGUCGGGAGAGGCUGGAGGUACUCCCAGGGUAGGGGUGAAAUCCUGUAAUCCUGGGAGGACCACCUGUGGCGAAGGCGUCCAGCUGGAACGAACCUGACGGUGAGGGACGAAGACUGACGCUCAGG
RNAcentral lists this ribosomal RNA (250 nucleotides) under uncultured Methanothermobacter sp. RNAcentral describes it as "partial 16S ribosomal RNA". It matches the Rfam family "Archaeal small subunit ribosomal RNA", at positions 474 to 722 of the family's 1478-position model. The record is from RNAcentral. Lineage: Archaea; Methanobacteriati; Methanobacteriota; Methanobacteria; Methanobacteriales; Methanobacteriaceae.